Long non-coding RNA from Nelumbo nucifera (sacred lotus), 411 nucleotides. RefSeq lists it as uncharacterized. The record is from RefSeq and is a predicted model, not a curated record. NCBI's taxonomy places the organism in Eukaryota, Viridiplantae, Streptophyta, Magnoliopsida, Proteales, Nelumbonaceae.
CUUUCCGGAGCUCUCUGUGAUCCAACGUCUGAUGGAUUAUCAGAAAACAAAACCCACCGAACUCUAAUUCAUAUUUCAAACUGAUACAACCCGAUUCCCUCAGAUUCGGCUUCCGCCCUGUCGUCCUCGUCUCUUCCCCUUUCAUAAUCGAGGAAUGCUUCACCACAAACGAGAACAAGACAAGAAGAAAAAAGGAAGAAGAACGGACAUAUGGUUUGGUUAUUCAGAGACAACAAUGAUGAAGAGGUACUACUUGCCCACUGCCACUACACACAAGCAGAGGUCGAUGGAUGCAUUUUCAAUCUGAAUGAUGAAUGCUUAUGUUAAAGAGAGGUUUUGUUUCUUGUACCUUUUCAUUUGCCAAGAUAUAUAUAAUGUCGAGGCUUAUUUGAUGUGUGAGGGAUUCAAAAA